This 164-nucleotide ribosomal RNA is filed under the name uncultured bacterium. Its description in RNAcentral is "partial 16S ribosomal RNA". It matches the Rfam family "Bacterial small subunit ribosomal RNA", at positions 355 to 511 of the family's 1533-position model. The record is from RNAcentral.
UAGGGAAUCUUCCACAAUGGGCGCAAGCCUGAUGGAGCAACACCGCGUGAGUGAAGAAGGGUUUCGGCUCGUAAAGCUCUGUUGUUAAAGAAGAACACGUAUGAGAGUAACUGUUCAUACGUUGACGGUAUUUAAUCAGAAAGUCACGGCUAACUACGUGCCAG